GAUUAACGCUGGCGGCGUGCAUAACACAUGCAAGUCGAACGAUGAAACUUUAAUGACCCCUUCGGGGAGAAUUAAAGCGGAUUAGUGGCGAACGGGUGAGUAACGCGUGAGUAACCUGCCUUACACAAGGGGAUAGCCUUUGGAAACGAAGAAUAAUACCCUAUAAAACCAUAAAAGCACAUGCAAUUAUGGUCAAAGUGAUAGCGGUGUAAGAUGGACUUGCGUCUGAUUAGCUAGUUGGUGAGAUAAAAGCCCACCAAGGCAACGAUCAGUAGCCGGCUUGAGAGAGUGUACGGCCACAUUGGGACUGAGACACGGCCCAGACUCCUACGGGAGGCAGCAGUGGGGAAGUUUGCACAAUGGGGGAAACCCUGAUGCAGCGACGCCGCGUGAUUUAGAAGGCCUUCGGGUUGUAAAAAUCUUUUGUAUAGGAAGAAAAUGACAGUACUAUACGAAUAAGGUCCGGCUAAUUACGUG
RNAcentral lists this ribosomal RNA (477 nucleotides) under uncultured bacterium. RNAcentral's name for it is "partial 16S ribosomal RNA". It matches the Rfam family "Bacterial small subunit ribosomal RNA", at positions 28 to 507 of the family's 1533-position model. The record is from RNAcentral.